This 30-nucleotide non-coding RNA is filed under the name Rattus norvegicus (Norway rat). Lineage: Eukaryota; Metazoa; Chordata; Mammalia; Rodentia; Muridae. The record is from RNAcentral.
UUAUUUACUGCCCUGUUUGCUUUUUCAGCA